RNAcentral lists this transfer RNA (72 nucleotides) under archaeon GW2011_AR15. RNAcentral's name for it is "tRNA-Gly". It matches the Rfam family "tRNA". Rfam says of the family: Transfer RNA (tRNA) molecules are approximately 80 nucleotides in length. The record is from RNAcentral. RNAcentral also lists the same sequence under 1 other name.
GCGUCUGUGGUCUAAUGGCUAUGACUCCGGCCUUCCAAGCCGGGUGUCCGGGUUCGAAUCCCGGCGGACGCA